CCCUUAGAUGUUCUGGGCCGCACGCGCGCUACACUGAUGCAUUCAACGAGUCUAAAACCUGGUCUGAUAGGGCUGGGUAAUCUUUUGAAAGUGCAUCGUGAUUGGGAUAGAUGAUUGCAAUUCUUCAUCUUCAACGAGGAAUGCCUAGUAAACGCAAGUCAUCAGCUUGCAUUGAUUACGUCCCUGCCCUUUGUACACACCGCCCGUCGCUCCUACCGAUUGAAUGAUCCGAUGAAUACCAUGGAUUGAGAGUACGAAUGGGUUCGCUUAUUUCUGCUGCUCGAGAAGUGGAGUAAAUCUUAUCAUUUAGAGGAAGGAGAAGUCGUAACA
Molecule: ribosomal RNA, 330 nt
Filed under: uncultured eukaryote
Lineage: Eukaryota
Description: partial 18S ribosomal RNA
Rfam family: Eukaryotic small subunit ribosomal RNA
Source: RNAcentral